UGGGGAAUAUUGGACAAUGGGCGAAAGCCUGAUCCAGCCAUGCCGCGUGUGUGAAGAAGGUCUUCGGAUUGUAAAGCACUUUAAGUUGGGAGGAAGGGCAGUAAGCGAAUACCUUGCUGUUUUGACGUUACCGACAGAAUAAGCACCGGCUAACUCUGUGUCAGCAGCCGCGGUAAUACAGAGGGUGCAAGCGUUAAUCGGAAUUACUGGGCGUAAAGCGCGCGUAGGUGGUUCGUUAAGUUGAAUGUGAAAGCCCCGGGCUCAACCUGGGAACUGCAUCUAAAACUGGCGAGCUAGAGUAGGGCAGAGGGUGGUGGAAUUUCCUGUGUAGCGGUGAAAUGCGUAGAUAUAGGAAGGAACACCAGUGGCGAAGGCGACCACCUGGGCUCAUACUGACACUGAGGUGCGAAAGCGUGGGGAGCAAACAGG
Molecule: ribosomal RNA, 429 nt
Filed under: Pseudomonadota bacterium
Lineage: Bacteria; Pseudomonadati; Pseudomonadota
Description: Proteobacteria bacterium partial 16S ribosomal RNA
Rfam family: Bacterial small subunit ribosomal RNA
Source: RNAcentral